RNAcentral lists this ribosomal RNA (675 nucleotides) under Triticum aestivum (bread wheat). Its description in RNAcentral is "partial small subunit ribosomal RNA". The record is from RNAcentral. Lineage: Eukaryota; Viridiplantae; Streptophyta; Magnoliopsida; Poales; Poaceae.
AUGGCCAAGCGCUUGCUGCCAUGGAUCAGUGUCUUGGUCGUGCUCUCGACGCUGUGGCGCUCGUGCAGCCCGGCCGCCGGCGCCGACCCGACGGCCGGGUUCACCGCCGUGGAGGUCACGGAGGACCGGUUCAAGCUCCACAAGCCGUAUGACCUGCCGCAGGAGCAGCGCUACGAGCUCCGCGCCGACGGCGUGCGGCGGUUCUGGGUCUACUGCGACGACAAGCCCUUCCGCGCCGGGAGCCCCACCAAGCCGCGCUCCGAGAUCCUCCUCAACGUAACGUACAGCUCCGGGGUGUGGCAGUUCGAGGGGUACGGCUACGUGCCGGCCGGCACGACGGGAGUGUCCGUGAUGCAGGUGUUCGGCGCGGCAGGCCCGCCGCGGAACACGACGCUGAUGCUGCACGUCUACGGCGGACGGCUCGUGUACUACAACGAUGAGACCAAGGUGGUCGACAGCCACAUCUACGACCGGUGGUUCAGGCUCAACGUGGUCCACGAUGUCCAAGCGUCGGCCCUCACCGUGUUCAUCGACGGCGACCAGAGGCUGGUCGUCCCAGGCUACGGCGGCGACUUCCACUACUUCAAGUUCGGUGUGUACACGCAAACGGACCCCUCGCACUACAUGGAGUCGCGGUGGAGGGAUGUCAAGGUCUACACUAAGACUUCCUACUGA